Molecule: ribosomal RNA, 484 nt
Filed under: uncultured bacterium
Lineage: Bacteria
Description: partial 16S ribosomal RNA
Rfam family: Bacterial small subunit ribosomal RNA
Source: RNAcentral
AUUGAACGCUGGCGGCAGGCCUAACACAUGCAAGUCGAGCGGAUGAAGGGAGCUUGCUCCUGGAUUCAGCGGCGGACGGGUGAGUAAUGCCUAGGAAUCUGCCUGGUAGUGGGGGAUAACGUCCGGAAACGGGCGCUAAUACCGCAUACGUCCUGAGGGAGAAAGUGGGGGAUCUUCGGACCUCACGCUAUCAGAUGAGCCUAGGUCGGAUUAGCUAGUUGGUGGGGUAAAGGCCUACCAAGGCGACGAUCCGUAACUGGUCUGAGAGGAUGAUCAGUCACACUGGAACUGAGACACGGUCCAGACUCCUACGGGAGGCAGCAGUGGGGAAUAUUGGGCAAUGGGCGAAAGCCUGAUCCAGCCAUGCCGCGUGUGUGAAGAAGGUCUUCGGAUUGUAAAACACUUUAAGUUGGGAGGAAGGGCAGUAAGUUAAUACCUUGCUGUUUUGACGUUACCAACAGAAUAAGCACCGGCUAACUUCGUG